RNAcentral lists this non-coding RNA (27 nucleotides) under Mus musculus (house mouse). The record is from RNAcentral. Lineage: Eukaryota; Metazoa; Chordata; Mammalia; Rodentia; Muridae.
UAGGACAUCAGACACACACAAUCCUGA